GGGAAUAUAGCUUAGUUGGUAGAGUGCUUGCCUCACAAGCACAAGGCCUGGGUUCAAUCCCCAGCACCA
Molecule: transfer RNA, 69 nt
Filed under: Ictidomys tridecemlineatus (thirteen-lined ground squirrel)
Lineage: Eukaryota; Metazoa; Chordata; Mammalia; Rodentia; Sciuridae
Description: Spermophilus tridecemlineatus (thirteen-lined ground squirrel) tRNA
Rfam family: tRNA
About the family: Transfer RNA (tRNA) molecules are approximately 80 nucleotides in length. Their secondary structure includes four short double-helical elements and three loops (D, anti-codon, and T loops).
Source: Rfam by way of RNAcentral